AUGUUAAGGAGUUAGAAUAGCUUGAAUUUUUGAAAUUCAAGGUCUAUAGUAGGGGGUUCAAUAUACCGCAGGGGGGUCAAAAUACCAUGGCUAAGUAAAAUUUUCAAAAUAUCUUUUCCAGUAUAUUAAAUACAUACAAACUACUUAUUGAAGUAUUAUAACUAUGUUAAGGAGUUAGAAUAGCUUGAAUUUUUGAAAUUCAAGGUCUAUAGUAGGGGGUUCAAUAUACCGCAGGGGGUCAAAAUACCAUGGCUAAGUAAAAUUUUCAAAAUAUCUUUUCCAGUAUAUCAAAUACAUACAAACUACUUAUUGGAGUAUUAUAACUA
This 326-nucleotide long non-coding RNA is filed under the name Mytilus galloprovincialis (Mediterranean mussel). The record is from RNAcentral. Lineage: Eukaryota; Metazoa; Mollusca; Bivalvia; Mytilida; Mytilidae.